UACGGAGGGGGUUAGCGUUGUUCGGAAUUACUGGGCGUAAAGCGCGCGUAGGCGGAUCAGAAAGUAGGGGGUGAAAGCCCAGGGCUCAACCCUGGAAUUGCCUUCUAAACUCCUGGUCUUGAGUUCGAGAGAGGUGAGUGGAAUUCCGAGUGUAGAGGUGAAAUUCGUAGAUAUUCGGAGGAACACCAGUGGCGAAGGCGGCUCACUGGCUCGAUACUGACGCUGAGGUGCGAAAGCGUGGGGAGCAAACAGG
This 253-nucleotide ribosomal RNA is filed under the name uncultured bacterium. RNAcentral's name for it is "partial 16S ribosomal RNA". It matches the Rfam family "Bacterial small subunit ribosomal RNA", at positions 524 to 776 of the family's 1533-position model. The record is from RNAcentral.